GACCACGAUCAGCUAGCGAGCCCUUCCCAGGGACUCGGUCCUAGUCCUGGCUCCAGCACCCAUGGAAGUCAAUAAAAAACAUUCCCACUGAGUGAGACUCGGACAACUGGUUAUUAUGCUUCAUGUUACAGGGGUACUUCCCCCAGGCACUUCUAAGAGACUCUGGUGAAAAUGCAACACUUGGGGCAUGAUGACAGGCAACUCAUCCAUGACACUCGUGACAUCCUCUUUGUUCCUGACAAGCCAUGUGGAUGCCCUUCUCUGACCCCAGAUCAUACUAAGCGGAAUAUAACGACAUCAAUAAUAAUCAUAAGAAAGCUUAUCUGGCGAAGUCUGUUUGUGCGGCUGUCCCAGUCUCCAGGGAGUCCAAACAGAAACUCCCCGGUGUAAAUCCAGGAGCCUGUCAGCAGGGAAGAGUGCAGAGCUGGAUAAAGAACACAAGAGUCCGGGUCAGCUGAGAUGAAACCUGCCCACGCUUCAACCCUUAGCACCAUCAGUGCGAGUGUGGGGCUCACGUCCAGAGCCCGUUAUGCAAACCAGCCCUUAAAUAACUAAAUCAGCUUUCACUCACGGCUGGGCCGAGGCACUUGUUUUGGAAGGGACAUGUGUAUUCUGGAAUAAGACUUGGCCUGCCUUCAAAGAGCCAAAAGGGUGAAUCAAAACUGAUCUAACCCU
This is a long non-coding RNA of Gavialis gangeticus (Gharial), 675 nucleotides long. RefSeq lists it as uncharacterized. The record is from RefSeq and is a predicted model, not a curated record. Lineage: Eukaryota; Metazoa; Chordata; Crocodylia; Gavialidae. The transcript has 3 exons.